CACAAUGGGCGAAAGCCUGACGGAGCAAUACCGCGUGAGGGAUGACGGCCCUUGGGUUGUAAACCUCUUUUAUCAAGGAGGAAGUUCUGACGUGUACUUGAUGAAUAAGCAUCGGCUAACUCCGUGCCAGCAGCCGCGGUAAGACGGAGGAUGCAAGUGUUAUCCGGAAUCACUGGGCGUAAAGCGUCUGUAGGUGGUUCGAAAAGUCCACUGUUAAAAAUUGAAGCUUAACUUCAAAGAUGCCGUGGAAACUUUCAAACUAGAGUGUGGUAGGGGUAGAGGGAAUUUCCAGUGGAGCGGUGAAAUGCGUAGAUAUUGGAAAGACCACCGAUGGCGAAGGCACUCUACUGGGCCAUUACUUUCUUUUUAGACGAAAGCUA
Molecule: ribosomal RNA, 380 nt
Filed under: uncultured organism
Description: bacterial SSU rRNA
Rfam family: Bacterial small subunit ribosomal RNA
Source: RNAcentral